UACGGAGGGUGCAAGCGUUAUCCGGAAUCACUGGGUUUAAAGGGUGCGUAGGCGGCCUGGUAAGUCAGGGGUGAAAGCUUCCCGCUCAACGGGAGAACUGCCCUUGAUACUGCCAGGCUCGAAUUGGGUUGAGGCCGGCGGAAUGUGGCAUGUAGCGGUGAAAUGCUUAGAUAUGCCAUAGAACACCGAUUGCGAAGGCAGCCGGCCAAGCCUUGAUUGACGCUGAGGCACGAAAGCGUGGGGAGCGAACAGG
RNAcentral lists this ribosomal RNA (253 nucleotides) under uncultured bacterium. RNAcentral's name for it is "partial 16S ribosomal RNA". It matches the Rfam family "Bacterial small subunit ribosomal RNA", at positions 524 to 776 of the family's 1533-position model. The record is from RNAcentral.